GUGAUAUAACAGGAAUAUUUAUACAUAUUUUAACAAAUAUACACAGCAAUAAAUUUCCAUUUUUAAAAAAGUAACUUUUCAGCAAAUUAUAAUCAGAUGUGUAUCUUUCGUAGGUCUUAGAAAAAAUAGAAUAUUCUAAUUGCUUGGUCAAUGCUUAGCAGGGAAAUUUCAAAUAUUUUAGAUUUGCUGUUAAUGGUUCUUUAAAAAUAAACAAAACUACCAAACAAAAUAACCCCUUGGAAUGGUAGAGAAAUACUGUACUGCCAGAUUCAUAUAAACAGAGGGGGAGUAGUCAAGGAUGGCACAACUGUUGACUUAAUUGUACACAAUUAAAGUUUGUGUUUUUUUUUUAAAUAUAUAUCUUUCAAGUAAAUUCAGACAAUAAAACAAAGAAAAAUAUUGUAAAUACAUUAGAACAAAUGCCAGUAAGAAAAAAAAAAAAAUCCUUAGCAGGAGGAGGUUUGAUCAAUUAGAACAGGAAAAUAAAAUAAAAAGUGCAGUCUCCCCUACCCAAAACAAAUAUAAAUACAAAGUCACAAAAUAAACUUCAAUAUUUUUCACAAAUACUAUUUCCCUCUGUAGAAUAUUGUUUGGGAUUAAGACUUGACAGCAAGAUAAUAGUAAAAUUAGAAUUUAGGGUGAAUGGCUAAUACUACAAAGAUUAUAAAUAAGAAUUCAGUUACAAAAAAAAAAAAAAAAAAAAAAAAAAAAAAAAAAAAAAAAAAAAAGGGGCAAAUGCAAAUUUACCAUCAACUUUUUCAUAGUGUAAAUAAAAUAGAGUGGGCACAAACAUAUGUAGACUAUGAAAUAUCACUCACAUAUCUUAUUUGACCAUUCAUGAAUUGUUAAUUUUGGUCCAUGGAAGGAGUGUACGGUUUCCCCCCCAGUAGGAUAGUUCAGUACAAUGUUAGACCCAAUCACAAAAGGAUAACUGAAAUAUCAAUCAAUAAUAUACCCAGUGUGCAACACAUCUACCCCAUCAGAAAAACUUGUGUAAGUUAGGGAACAGUCCACAAAGUUCACUGACAGGUGCCAACUGUCUCAGAAUCUGUGCAUUACUUAUUUUAAAUAUUGCUGUAAGUAAAGCACCAGUUACACUUUCAAAUGAAACAGACUCUUGACUCUCUAAAAUCUCAAAAGAACAAAAUAAACACAAAGUUCAAACAGCUCAUAGAUAUAUUUGAAUGAAAAAAAUUCAUAAAGAUUUCUUAUUUUCGUACAGGAAUUGUGCUUUAAUAUUUAAGGAAUCAAAAAAGGCAAGUCGAUUGUUCACUUUUGCAGGACCUUUCACUCAUCUAUAAAAAAUAACUCACUGCACCUCUUUGCUUCCAAAUGGGCCUGGCACAGCUUGCAAAAUAGCUGUGCUAAAACACAAACAAAUAACUGUUGAUCUAUUUGAUAUCUUGCAGGUCCGCAAGGAAGUAAAGCGGUUAAUAUGCUCAAAUGACCUUUUAUUACAAAGAUAUUUUUCUCUGGGUGGGAAAAACAAAAACAAUAAAUAUAUAUUUUACAUGGGUAAAAGUUAAGUGGUACACAUUGUAUCACAUGCAUGCAGAAAAAAAUAAAAUAUACACUGCAGAAUUCUGAAAAUAUUACAGAAAUAGAUAUCUAGGUUUAGGAGAAUUUAUACAUAUUUACAAAAUAAAUCUCUGCAAAUUAUUGCCUCAUAAGAAUUAGAGGUAAAUAUUCUAUGCUAGCUUACUCACAGUUUUGAACCAUCAAUAACCUAACAGCCACCCAACUCCUUGCUGGGACAGCUAGUCACUGGCUGCUCUGGCAGAAAGGUAACUCUAUUUAACAUUAGAUGGGCCUACAACACAUGUAAAAGAUUUGAAGGCCACACUGGCAGGUUUAAAAAUAUUAAACUAAAAAAAAUUAUAUAUAUUUAUAUUUUCCGUUUAGGCCUCCAAAACACAGCCUGUUCGCUAGGUCCUUUUUUCCUAUCAAACCUGAAAAAAACACUUGUUGAUUUUGGUCAAAAAACAAAAUGUGUUGCUUUUUUCGUUAAAUGACUAAAGUGUCUGUACAUCUUGCUGACAAUCAAAACUAUUGACAAGAAACUUGAGUGAGUCUCCUUGUUUAUAUUGAGAGUCCAGCAAUGCAUAGAUAGAUUUACCAAAUAUUACUGCAUUAGCUAUGAAGAAUGGUCAUGGUUCAUUUAAGUGCAACUGGUAUAAGCAGUCAUCCUUAUGAAAUGAUUUUAUACAGUCGUAAACUCAUUAUUGGACGACAAAAAAAAAAAAAAAAAACCACCACACACAAACAAGCAAGCAGAGGGGAACGCCCAUCAAAAAUUUAUAAAAAUCGGAAGCCAACUUGAUAAGAAAUGUAAUUGAAAGCAUAGGGACUGCAAUGCAAAUUAUACAUAUUACAGAUGAAAAAGGCAAUUCAUAUCAGUUUAUGUAAUUGGGAUAGGUCAUUGAUUUCAUAUAAAUAUACCUUACCCAUAACAUCUGUGACUGUAAACAUAUGAUUCAAUGUUCUUGUGUAUAAUUAAAAAAAAAUAAACACACACCACAGCCACCUGAAACUGAUAUUAUUGUAGUUCACAGUAAGCCUAAUAAAUACCCUCCCUUCUGUAUUCUACCAGUGGUCUAUUCUCUCUGCAUUGCCCCAGCACACAUGAACACUUCUAAAACGGGUGAAACGUGGAUGCAGAAGAUAUGUAUUAUUUUACAUAGAUGGAAAUAAGAUAGUAUUGAAUAUACAUUUACCCAUCAAUGUGGCAGCUUCUUUCAAUUUAUAAAAUAAAAAUAAAACAAAAUACGAGCUAUAUAACCUCAAAGCCAGGUAAGGCUAUGGAAAGAAGAAUCAAAUGGUUAACCAUUCACUAAUAGAUGGUAAGCUAAAUGCAAAGCGAAGAACAUGAGAGACUCUUUGGCAGAGGAAGCACAUGGCGGUAUGUGCUUAGUUUUCCAUUCAAACGUUUAAAUCUGUAAUAUGUUUGCAAAAUGAGCACACAGAUUUACCUCUUGGCCAUUAUGAGAGGUCAUUGUAUUGGACAGUUAUGGCGGUAAGGAUGAGGAGGCCAGAUAUUAAACUUCUAGAUCACCACACAAGAUUCUGGAUUUCAUAGUACAUUUUUCAUGGCUCUAUGUUUUAUGCAAAGUCGGGAAAACUUUACAGUACCAAAUUACAAGGAAACAAAAUAAAGUUUGUUAAUCUGCAAUGACAUCAGAUAUACCUAGGAUGGAUAUGCUCAUGUAAACUUAGUGGUACAAAUAGGUUUGCCGACUGUGCUUAUGGACAAUGUCAGCUGCCCCAGGUAAGUUUAAGAUACACAGAUCAAUGUGUAAUUUAUUUUACAAUCUUCAAAUAGGUGAAGAAAAAAAAAAUAAAAAAAAAUAAUAAGUUUUGCCCAUUUUGCUAAAAUUACACAGAUCCAGUCUGGCAGUAUUACAACAAUUGCAUCAAAUAGCUCAUCCAGGUAACUGUGCUAGAAAUCCAACAACGUGGUUCCUGUCGAAGAGAUGUAAUGUCUCAUUGGGAGAUUCUUUAGCAGUGAUCUUGCUAUAAACGGAGGUGCUAUUUUGUAUCUUGUAAAAGAUGAUUCUGUUUAAAAUACAAAACCACAACCCAAACAGAAAUUAUGUUUGUGCAGUUCGAAUUCUGAAUGUCCAAACCCUGCCAUAAAUUUUAAAUAAAAA
Molecule: non-coding RNA, 3647 nt
Organism: Pelobates cultripes (western spadefoot toad)
Lineage: Eukaryota; Metazoa; Chordata; Amphibia; Anura; Pelobatidae
Source: the annotation of a GenBank genome assembly